RNAcentral lists this ribosomal RNA (135 nucleotides) under Gloeocystis sp. A CCCryo148-01. Its description in RNAcentral is "partial 18S ribosomal RNA". It matches the Rfam family "Eukaryotic small subunit ribosomal RNA", at positions 1697 to 1831 of the family's 1831-position model. Lineage: Eukaryota; Viridiplantae; Chlorophyta; Chlorophyceae; Sphaeropleales; Radiococcaceae. The record is from RNAcentral.
GGGGCCGAAGUGUUCGGAUUGGUUUCAGUUGGUGGCAACAUCGAUUGAGAGUCAAAAGUUCCCUAAACCCUCCCACCUAGAGGAAGGAGAAGUCGUAACAAGGUUUCCGUAGGUGAACCUGCGGAAGGAUCAUUG